GCGUUAAUCGGAAUUACUGGGCGUAAAGGGCGCGUAGGCGGCCAAUUAAGUUGGAUGUGAAAUCCCUGGGCUUAACCUAGGAACUGCAUACAAUACUGGUUGGCUAGAGUGCAGUAGAGGGUAGUGGAAUUUCCGGUGUAGCGGUGAAAUGCGUAGAUAUCGGAAGGAACACCAGUGGCGAAGGCGGCUAUCUGGACUGACACUGACGCUGAGGCGCGAAAGCGUG
This 226-nucleotide ribosomal RNA is filed under the name uncultured bacterium. RNAcentral's name for it is "partial 16S ribosomal RNA". It matches the Rfam family "Bacterial small subunit ribosomal RNA", at positions 538 to 763 of the family's 1533-position model. The record is from RNAcentral.